UCAUGGCUCAGAUUGAACGCUGGCGGCAGGCCUAACACAUGCAAGUCGAGCGGAAACGACAACAUUGACCCUUCGGGUGAUUUGUUGGGCGUCGAGCGGCGGACGGGUGAGUAAUGCCUGGGAAAUUGCCCUGAUGUGGGGGAUAACCAUUGGAAACGAUGGCUAAUACCGCAUAAUGUCUACGGACCAAAGAGGGGGACCUUCGGGCCUCUCGCUUCAGGAUAUGCCCAGGUGGGAUUAGCUAGUUGGUGAGGUAAUGGCUCACCAAGGCGACGAUCCCUAGCUGGUCUGAGAGGAUGAUCAGCCACACUGGAACUGAGACACGGUCCAGACUCCUACGGGAGGCAGCAGUGGGGAAUAUUGCACAAUGGGCGCAAGCCUGAUGCAGCCAUGCCGCGUGUAUGAAGAAGGCCUUCGGGUUGUAAAGUACUUUCAGUCGUGAGGAAGGCGUUGNGAGUUAAUA
This 463-nucleotide ribosomal RNA is filed under the name Vibrio sp. VibP-Oc-120. RNAcentral's name for it is "bacterial SSU rRNA". It matches the Rfam family "Bacterial small subunit ribosomal RNA", at positions 17 to 466 of the family's 1533-position model. The record is from RNAcentral. Lineage: Bacteria; Pseudomonadati; Pseudomonadota; Gammaproteobacteria; Vibrionales; Vibrionaceae.